This is a long non-coding RNA of Balaenoptera acutorostrata (minke whale), 1502 nucleotides long. RefSeq lists it as uncharacterized. The transcript has 7 exons. The record is from RefSeq and is a predicted model, not a curated record. Lineage: Eukaryota; Metazoa; Chordata; Mammalia; Artiodactyla; Balaenopteridae.
GCAGGAGCUGCCUGCCCGGCGCAGCUGGGGUGCCCGGCUCCGCGCUUUGGCCGGCAGGGUGAGUCUGCCGAGUUCCGCGGACGGAACCGGGAGGAUGUGAGACCUGCCCUUGAAGCCCGUUCGCGCUUCCCUAAUGAAUAGAGUGCAAAACAGCUGAAGAAGCAGCCUUAUUGCUCAAAAGGAAAUGUUGAUACAUCUCGGGGCUUUGAGCAUGGGAGAUGAAGGGCCCAGCUUUAUGCCACUUAAUGUAGUAACAUGGUUGAUGGAGAACAGACCAAGGAGACUUUGAUCAGCUCAUUCUUCAAGGGAAGUUUCAGCAAAUGUUCACCAAGAUUAGCCGAUGGGAUUGAGAGGAGAAGACCCUCAAUGGCAACGGCAUGCUCCCUCACAGCACAAGGUGUUCUCAAGGGAAGCACUCCCUGUCAUGAUAUCGGAUACAACGCCUCAACCUGAUAAACCUAGACAUUCACAGAGGCUUUCAGGAUAAAGUAUAUCAAAUGGCUUCCAGGAUGGCCAGCCCCACAGGUUCCACCCUCUAGCAGCAGACCUGCCAGUAAGGAAAUCUUCAGGAGAGAUGCUCGGAACCUGGAAUAUCACCACCAACACGUUCUCUGAGAAGGGGGAGGUGUGGGCCAGCAGAAAAAGUCUCAGUGGGUUUACGGAGUCUUCCAAAGAAAACAAGUUUGAUGUCCACAAAUCCAACCAUAAUCCUUCACAUGGAUACUUUCUUUGAAGCCAGGUGUCUCUUCUUAACAUCACGCAAGCAGGACAGGACAGGAGCUGGGAAUGCUGCAGCCAGGAGGACCCCAUCCAGAUCGUUACAAACAGCUCCCCCAGAUCACUUGAUCUUAGGGAAGAAAAGGGAAUCAAACCCUGUGCCCCUGACAGGAAAUGACAGGAUGAACAUUUUCCUGGCUAAAAGUUUGAAAUAUACACCUUUGCCACACACAAAAUUUUCACCCAUUAUUUCUUUCCUUAUACUUUCCUCAUUUAAAAUGUACAAUUUCAUAGAAUAAUCCAAUUUAUACACCCUAAAUGCAUGAAACCCAUUUUUUCAGUUAUUCAGUCAGUAUUUACGGAGCACCUAACACGUGCCAGGCAUCGUUUCGUUCACUGCCAAGGCUUCAGUCCCUAAAACAAAGUUGCUGCUCUCAGAGUUCUGACUUCCCAAUGCUUUGCUAAUGGUUUCCUGCAUGAGCCCUCACAAAGAACACCUUCCUUUUUUAAGAUAACAUUUUUUGAGGGUUUAUGCGUGUCAGGCACUGAACACCAUUAAUUCAUUUAAUUCUCACAGCACCCCUGUGAGGUGGUACGAUUUCUAUCCCCUCUUUACAGAUGAAGAAUUUGAAAUUUAAAGACAGGAUAAGUAACUUACCCAAGGCUACAAAGCUAGUAAAUCACAGAUAGGAUUAAAAUGUAGGUCCAGUUCCAAACUCCUCCAUCUUAAUCCCUACACUAAACUGCCUUCAGAACUUCUUAAAUAUAGUUGGCUAUGAUGGACA